RNAcentral lists this ribosomal RNA (254 nucleotides) under uncultured bacterium. RNAcentral's name for it is "partial 16S ribosomal RNA". It matches the Rfam family "Bacterial small subunit ribosomal RNA", at positions 524 to 776 of the family's 1533-position model. The record is from RNAcentral.
UACGUAGGGUGCAAGCGUUGUCCGGAUUUAUUGGGCGUAAAGAGCUCGUAGGCGGUUUGGCAAGUCGGGUGUGAAACCUCCAGGCUCAACCUGGAGACGCCACUCGAUACUGCUAUGACUUGAGUCUGGUAGGGGAUCACGGAAUUCCUGGUGUAGCGGUGAAAUGCAUAGAUAUCAGGAGGAACACCGGUGGCGAAGGCGGUGAUCUGGGCCAGUACUGACGCUGAGGAGCGAAAGCGUGGGGAGCGAACAGG